Molecule: ribosomal RNA, 1472 nt
Filed under: Lactobacillus sp. YD11S
Lineage: Bacteria; Bacillati; Bacillota; Bacilli; Lactobacillales; Lactobacillaceae
Description: bacterial SSU rRNA
Rfam family: Bacterial small subunit ribosomal RNA
Source: RNAcentral
UGCAAGUCGAACGAACUCUGGUAUUGAUUGGUGCUUGCAUCAUGAUUUACAUUUGAGUGAGUGGCGAACUGGUGAGUAACACGUGGGAAACCUGCCCAGAAGCGGGGGAUAACACCUGGAAACAGAUGCUAAUACCGCAUAACAACUUGGACCGCAUGGUCCGAGUUUGAAAGAUGGCUUCGGCUAUCACUUUUGGAUGGUCCCGCGGCGUAUUAGCUAGAUGGUGAGGUAACGGCUCACCAUGGCAAUGAUACGUAGCCGACCUGAGAGGGUAAUCGGCCACAUUGGGACUGAGACACGGCCCAAACUCCUACGGGAGGCAGCAGUAGGGAAUCUUCCACAAUGGACGAAAGUCUGAUGGAGCAACGCCGCGUGAGUGAAGAAGGGUUUCGGCUCGUAAAACUCUGUUGUUAAAGAAGAACAUAUCUGAGAGUAACUGUUCAGGUAUUGACGGUAUUUAACCAGAAAGCCACGGCUAACUACGUGCCAGCAGCCGCGGUAAUACGUAGGUGGCAAGCGUUGUCCGGAUUUAUUGGGCGUAAAGCGAGCGCAGGCGGUUUUUUAAGUCUGAUGUGAAAGCCUUCGGCUCAACCGAAGAAGUGCAUCGGAAACUGGGAAACUUGAGUGCAGAAGAGGACAGUGGAACUCCAUGUGUAGCGGUGAAAUGCGUAGAUAUAUGGAAGAACACCAGUGGCGAAGGCGGCUGUCUGGUCUGUAACUGACGCUGAGGCUCGAAAGUAUGGGUAGCAAACAGGAUUAGAUACCCUGGUAGUCCAUACCGUAAACGAUGAAUGCUAAGUGUUGGAGGGUUUCCGCCCUUCAGUGCUGCAGCUAACGCAUUAAGCAUUCCGCCUGGGGAGUACGGCCGCAAGGCUGAAACUCAAAGGAAUUGACGGGGGCCCGCACAAGCGGUGGAGCAUGUGGUUUAAUUCGAAGCUACGCGAAGAACCUUACCAGGUCUUGACAUACUAUGCAAAUCUAAGAGAUUAGACGUUCCCUUCGGGGACAUGGAUACAGGUGGUGCAUGGUUGUCGUCAGCUCGUGUCGUGAGAUGUUGGGUUAAGUCCCGCAACGAGCGCAACCCUUAUUAUCAGUUGCCAGCAUUAAGUUGGGCACUCUGGUGAGACUGCCGGUGACAAACCGGAGGAAGGUGGGGAUGACGUCAAAUCAUCAUGCCCCUUAUGACCUGGGCUACACACGUGCUACAAUGGAUGGUACAACGAGUUGCGAACUCGCGAGAGUAAGCUAAUCUCUUAAAGCCAUUCUCAGUUCGGAUUGUAGGCUGCAACUCGCCUACAUGAAGUCGGAAUCGCUAGUAAUCGCGGAUCAGCAUGCCGCGGUGAAUACGUUCCCGGGCCUUGUACACACCGCCCGUCACACCAUGAGAGUUUGUAACACCCAAAGUCGGUGGGGUAACCUUUUAGGAACCAGCCGCCUAAGGUGGGACAGAUGAUUAGGGUGAAGUCGUAACA